This 448-nucleotide unclassified non-coding RNA is filed under the name Hevea brasiliensis (rubber tree). Lineage: Eukaryota; Viridiplantae; Streptophyta; Magnoliopsida; Malpighiales; Euphorbiaceae. The record is from RNAcentral.
AGGCAAGGUGGGUCCAAUGACACCGUUGCCUGAUUUGGUCACUAUCCAUCCUCCCAAAGAAGAAGAGUAUAUUCCAACACCAGUGAUGACAGCCAAUAUUGAGAUUCCAGUUACAUAAAUUCUGAAUUUCGACUGAAAAAGUCUGUACCACAGGCUUUUAUUGGCCUGUUGUUUCUUAUAUAUAUUUUAGGAGAGAGACAAAAAUUCUUGAAUGCAUCAGGAGUUAGUUUUUGCUUGCUUCUAUUAGCAUCUCAAGUUUGGGCUAAAUUUCGUUCAGCGUCUCUUAACUGUGUUGUUUUUCGUCAUCCUUCACCUUUAUUUUUUUUUUCUUAAAAUUUUCUGAAUUUUAAUUCGAGCAAUAUGAAGUGACUGUAAUAUUCAAUUGCAGGUUUUCAGUUUAAUUUUCUUGUUUGGUGAUAAAAAAUAAAAAAGAGAAUUUACUCGACUA